CCCUGGUAUAUGAAAUAUAUGAGUGAUUAGUAUAUUUUGAAAAUUAAUAAAUUUGGUGGUUGAUUUAAUUUUUAGAGGAGCUUGUUUUAAUUAUUAAGAAUUUACUCUAUAUAUUUAAAGUUAAUAAAUUUUGUUUAUUCAUCUCCGUAUUAAGUAUUUUAAUAUUAGGUUGAAAAUAAUUAUUUUUAAUUACAGGUCAAGAUGUAGCAAUAUUAACAAUAAUAAAUUAGCUACAUUUAUAGAAUAAAUUUGUUGGAUUUAUUUCAUGAAAAAAAUAAUGAAAUUGAAUUUAGCUGUAAUAAAAGAAAGAGGGGCUAAUAAGCUAUUAUGAAAUUGAUAAUCAGUAUA
RNAcentral lists this ribosomal RNA (348 nucleotides) under Ogloblinia loretoensis. RNAcentral describes it as "partial 12S ribosomal RNA". The record is from RNAcentral. Lineage: Eukaryota; Metazoa; Arthropoda; Arachnida; Opiliones; Gonyleptidae.